Molecule: long non-coding RNA, 641 nt
Filed under: Astyanax mexicanus (Mexican tetra)
Lineage: Eukaryota; Metazoa; Chordata; Actinopteri; Characiformes; Acestrorhamphidae
Description: lncRNA (ENSAMXG00005025070.1)
Source: RNAcentral
GAGGGGUGUGUGUGUGUGUGAGAGAGAGAGUGUGAGAGAGAGAGAGAGAGAGAGAGAGAGAGAGAGAGUAUCGCUCGCGCUGUUCAGGGAUCACACUGAUUGAGCUUGCGCCGGGCUGCAGAUGGGUCUGUGCUGAUUUGAGGAGCAGAAUGGGGAAAUGGCAGAUAUCGAUGGACCCAGUGCAGGAGUGGGGUGAGGAGGUGGAGGAUGGUGUUGUGUACGGAGUGGCGCUACACCGCAUAUGUGAUCUUGAGGAUCCCACUGACCCUGUCCCCUCCUCUGAGCCCUGUCCCCAAAGCUGUGUACAGUAUCGGACGCUGAAGGUCCGGCGGCUCAAGGCAGCCACUCUGCAGAGGUUGGUCAGCGAGCUGGUCCAACCGGAGUGCAGCGACCCGGAUUACCCCCGAAUCUUUCUGUCCACCUAUAGAGCCUUCACCUGCACCACCUCACUCGUACAGCUGCUCUUCCAGAGGGAAGACUCCAUCACUAACCUGGACAGCAGUGUGUGUGUGAGGAGCUUGUGAGAAGUCCCGGUACGCAGGAAAAAGUCCCGGUAGAAGUGCCGGUACUGCGUACUGGUGAGUACCGCUCUGCUUCGAGCACUGCUGCUUACUGUAAAUCAGAACAUGAAUUAGUUUCUA